AUUGAACGCUGGCGGCAUGCCUUACACAUGCAAGUCGAACGGCAGCACGGGAGCAAUCCUGGUGGCGAGUGGCGAACGGGUGAGUAAUAUAUCGGAACGUGCCCAGUCGUGGGGGAUAACGUAGCGAAAGCUACGCUAAUACCGCAUACGAUCUACGGAUGAAAGCGGGGGAUCGCAAGACCUCGCGCGAUUGGAGCGGCCGAUAUCAGAUUAGCUAGUUGGUGGGGUAAAAGCUCACCAAGGCGACGAUCUGUAGCUGGUCUGAGAGGACGACCAGCCACACUGGAACUGAGACACGGUCCAGACUCCUACGGGAGGCAGCAGUGGGGAAUUUUGGACAAUGGGCGCAAGCCUGAUCCAGCAAUGCCGCGUGCAGGACGAAGGCCUUCGGGUUGUAAACUGCUUUUGUACGGAACGAAACGGUGAGCUCUAAUAAAGCUUGCUAAUGACGGUACCGUAAGAAUAAGCACCGGCUAACUACGUGCC
Molecule: ribosomal RNA, 486 nt
Filed under: uncultured bacterium
Lineage: Bacteria
Description: bacterial SSU rRNA
Rfam family: Bacterial small subunit ribosomal RNA
Source: RNAcentral